AUUGAACGCUGGCGGCAUGCCUUACACAUGCAAGUCGAACGGCAGCUCGGGUGCUUGCACCUGGUGGCGAGUGGCGAACGGGUGAGUAAUACAUCGGAACAUGUCCUGUAGUGGGGGAUAGCCCGGCGAAAGCCGGAUUAAUACCGCAUACGAUCUACGGAUGAAAGCGGGGGACCUUCGGGCCUCGCGCUAUAGGGUUGGCCGAUGGCUGAUUAGCUAGUUGGUGGGGUAAAGGCCUACCAAGGCGACGAUCAGCAGCUGGUCUGAGAGGACGACCAGCCACACUGGGACUGAGACACGGCCCAGACUCCUACGGGAGGCAGCAGUGGGGAAUUUUGGACAAUGGGCGAAAGCCUGAUCCAGCAAUGCCGCGUGUGUGAAGAAGGCCUUCGGGUUGUAAAGCACUUUUGUCCGGAAAGAAAUCCUUGGCCCUAAUACGGUCGGGGGAUGACGGUACCGGAAGAAUAAGCACCGGCUAACUACGUG
Molecule: ribosomal RNA, 486 nt
Filed under: uncultured bacterium
Lineage: Bacteria
Description: partial 16S ribosomal RNA
Rfam family: Bacterial small subunit ribosomal RNA
Source: RNAcentral